RNAcentral lists this ribosomal RNA (296 nucleotides) under uncultured bacterium. RNAcentral describes it as "partial 16S ribosomal RNA". It matches the Rfam family "Bacterial small subunit ribosomal RNA", at positions 32 to 306 of the family's 1533-position model. The record is from RNAcentral.
AAUCAACGCUGGCGGCGUGCCUAACACAUGCAAGUCGAACGCGAAAGGGGGCUUCGGCUCCUAAGUAGAGUGGCGUCCGGGUGAGUAACACGUAGGUAAUCUGCCUUCGGGUGGGAAUAACCAGUCGAAAGAUUGGCUAAUACCGCAUAAUGCAGCGGCACCUAAUGGUGAUUAGUUGUUAAAAGCGGGGGAUCGUAAGACCUCGCGCCUGAAGAGGAGCCUGCGGCAGAUUAGCUAGUUGGUGAGGUAAUGGCUCACCAAGGCUUCGAUCUGUAGCUGGUCUGAGAGGACGGCCA